ACUUGUCUACGGGGGGCAGCAGUAGGGAAUCUUCCACAAUGGGCGAAAGCCUGAUGGAGCAACGCCGCGUGGGUGAAGAAGGUCUUCGGAUCGUAAAACCCUGUUGUUAGAGAAGAAAGUGCGUGAGAGUAACUGUUCACAUUUCGACAGUAUCUAACCAGAAAGCCACGGCUAACUACGUGCCAGCAGCCGCGGUAAUACGUAGGUGGCAAGCGUUAUCCGGAUUUAUUGGGCGUAAAGGGAACGCAGGUGGUCUUUUAAGUCUGAUGUGAAAGCCUUCGGCUUAACCGGAGUAGUGCAUUGGG
Molecule: ribosomal RNA, 305 nt
Filed under: uncultured bacterium
Lineage: Bacteria
Description: bacterial SSU rRNA
Rfam family: Bacterial small subunit ribosomal RNA
Source: RNAcentral